Euryarchaeota archaeon RBG_16_67_27 is the source of this 75-nucleotide non-coding RNA. Lineage: Archaea; Methanobacteriati; Methanobacteriota. The record is from Rfam.
GGGCACGUCGGCUAGUUUGGACUAGGCUAGAGGCCUUCGGAGCCUCGGACGAGGGUUCGAAUCCCUCCGUGCCCG